GACGAACCGUGCGAACGUUGUUCGGAUUCACUGGGCUUAAAGGGCGCGUAGGCGGGUCGGUCCGUCUGGGGUGAAAUCCUCUCGCUUAACGAGAGAACGGCCCUGGAUACCACCGAUCUCGAGGGAGGUAGGGGCAUGUGGAACUUCCGGUGGAGCGGUGAAAUGCGUAGAUAUCGGAAGGAACGCCGGUGGCGAAAGCGAUCCGCCGGACCUCUUCUGACACUGAGGCGCGAAAGCCAGGGGAGCAAACGGG
RNAcentral lists this ribosomal RNA (253 nucleotides) under uncultured bacterium. RNAcentral's name for it is "partial 16S ribosomal RNA". It matches the Rfam family "Bacterial small subunit ribosomal RNA", at positions 524 to 776 of the family's 1533-position model. The record is from RNAcentral.